This 497-nucleotide ribosomal RNA is filed under the name uncultured bacterium. RNAcentral describes it as "partial 16S ribosomal RNA". It matches the Rfam family "Bacterial small subunit ribosomal RNA", at positions 28 to 507 of the family's 1533-position model. The record is from RNAcentral.
GAUGAACGCUGGCGGCGUGCCUAAUACAUGCAAGUCGAGCGAACAGAUAAGGAGCUUGCUCCUUUGACAUUAGCGGCGGACGGGUGAGUAACACGUGGGUAACCUACCUAUAAGACUGGAAUAACUCCGGGAAACCGGGGCUAAUGCCGGAUAACAUUUAGAACCGCAUGGUUCUAAAGUGAAAGAUGGCUUUGCUAUCACUUAUAGAUGGACCCGGGCCGUAUUAGCUAGUUGGUAAGGUAACGGCUUACCAAGGCAACGAUACGUAGCCGACCUGAGAGGGUGAUCGGCCACACUGGAACUGAGACACGGUCCAGACUCCUACGGGAGGCAGCAGUAGGGAAUCUUCCGCAAUGGGCGAAAGCCUGACGGAGCAACGCCGCGUGAGUGAUGAAGGUCUUCGGAUCGUAAAACUCUGUUAUUAGGGAAGAACAAAUGUGUAAGUAACUGUGCACGUCUUGACGGUACCUAAUCAGAAAGCCACGGCUAACUACGUG